UGGUGAAAUUGGUAGACACGCUGCUCUUAGGAAGCAGUGCUCAAGCAUCUCGGUUCGAAUCCGAGUGGCGGCA
RNAcentral lists this transfer RNA (73 nucleotides) under Australopyrum retrofractum. Its description in RNAcentral is "partial tRNA-Leu". It matches the Rfam family "tRNA". Rfam says of the family: Transfer RNA (tRNA) molecules are approximately 80 nucleotides in length. Their secondary structure includes four short double-helical elements and three loops (D, anti-codon, and T loops). The record is from RNAcentral. Lineage: Eukaryota; Viridiplantae; Streptophyta; Magnoliopsida; Poales; Poaceae.